This 392-nucleotide ribosomal RNA is filed under the name uncultured bacterium. RNAcentral's name for it is "bacterial SSU rRNA". It matches the Rfam family "Bacterial small subunit ribosomal RNA", at positions 971 to 1425 of the family's 1533-position model. The record is from RNAcentral.
UUACCGGCUCGAAUGGACAGAAAUUCCUUCGGGCCAAGGUGCUGCAUGGUUGUCGUCAGCUCGUGCCGUGAGGUGUUGGGUUAAGUCCCGCAACGAGCGCAACCCUAUCUUAGUUGCNAGCAUAUGGGACUCUAAGAGACUGCCGGCGCAACCGGAGGAAGGUGGGGAUGACGUCAAAUCAUCAUGGCCUUUAUGCCGGGCGACACACGUGCUACAAUGGAGUACAAGGGGCACCGUGAGGGGAGCAAUCUCUACUGUCCCAGUUCGGAUUGAAGUCUGCAACUCGACUUCAUGAAGGUGGAAUCGCUAGUAAUCGCGAUCAGCACGCGCGGUGAAUACGUUCCCGGACCUUGUACACACCGCCCGUCAAGCCAUGGAAGCUGGGGGCCGAA